GCUACACUGUGACCUGAGAGACGGUGUCAAACCUUUAGCCCAGCCGGCUGCUAUAUGGAGUGGGACAUGCAGGUGUCGCCAAAGCUUCAUCCUCACCUCGGCUGUCAGCAACAUGUACUGUACAGCAGCAGGGCAGCUGAGCUUUAUUUUGCUUCCCAGCCUGGAAACCACUGUAGUGCAGUUGGACUUGACGUCUAGCAUCACAACAUCACAGACUCAAAGCGAGCAGACACGGUGACUUAGCACGUCAGCGUCUGCAUUUACAGGACAUACUGGAGGACAGGGACUGGCUGUGGACUGCUAAGCGGUUCCCAGGUGUCUCUGAGCACAUCAAGGGGUCCUCCUACUUUCCUCCCAUACAAGAGCUCAAAGGCUGUGGUGCCAGUGUGAGAGCAUCUCACUGCCUCCGUGCUGAGCUUGGGACUGCAGCAACAAGACAAAAGACGUAAGAGAAGAAAGA
This is a long non-coding RNA of Centropristis striata (black sea bass), 460 nucleotides long. RefSeq lists it as uncharacterized. NCBI's taxonomy places the organism in Eukaryota, Metazoa, Chordata, Actinopteri, Perciformes, Serranidae. The record is from RefSeq and is a predicted model, not a curated record. The transcript has 3 exons.